GAACUCACUCGAGGCACUGAAGAAGAGCCUUCUGGGGCUCCUCUGCUCCCCCAUCCUAGUUCUGGAAGGAGUGCAGACCGAACCCAGGAGCCCGGGUAUCCGCGUCCUGAGUCCUAGCGCCCACCAGGACUGGAGCCUCCUCGCAUCUACUCUGAGGACAAAAUCCACUGGCAGAAUCUUCGUUUUUGUUUGGGAUGCUGGGUUUGAGAACACGCCAUGAACCAAGAGUCGUAAAUAAUCCAAUUUUGAGCACUUGAGAACCAAGUGGAAAGAAACUCAAGCCGAUUCAAAGUGACCAAUAUCUGGUUAUGCCCUUGAGCCCCUGCAGAAGCAAAGAAUAAUUUGUGUGUGCGUGUGGACAAAUACAUUUGUAUUCCAGAUCUCACAGAAAUUCCUACACCAAGAAAUUUACAAGGAAAAUGAACACUGCGCCCUAAAAAUUAACAAGGAAACAAGGUACCAGGAGCAACAACUCAUUAACAGGAACAGAAACUAAAUUGCAAACAUUUCAGAUGCAAAGUGUAUCAGACUCAUAAUACAACUAUUCCUACAGUGUCUAAAAAUAUGAAAGGCAAUAAAGAAAAUAUCUUUGACAACAGGACCUCCAGCCUUCUAGACUGAAAAAAGAACCAAAUAGUUCUAGAUAUAAAAGCACACAGUAAUGGAAACGGAACAACUAAAUGCACAUCACGGUAGGUUACAGUGCGGAGCAGUAUUGCGAGGGCUUCUGUGAGUCCCAGUGAGCUCUGGGCAUUCUGUCUGCAACUGCAAGGAUGGCCGAAACACAGCAGAACUCUCCUGUGCCUGUAACUCGAGUGGCCUCAAAAAAAAAAAAAAAAGGGUUGUCAUUGACUCUUUAAGUGCGUGCAGUCGCAGUCUGGGGACAUUUUUUCUCUUUCUGAAAGAAGGCCAUUUCAGCGGAGGGCACAGAUUGGGAGAACACAGAUUCAUGCCAGCGUGGUGCGGAAGGAGACUCUGGCGGGUCACCCCCAUUUAUGGGAGAACGCAGGGUGGUGAAGGAAGUCCUGCACUAGCGGGGACGUCGGUGGGGACUGAGGCUGCUGUGGGGGACCCCAAGUGCGCUCUGGUUUCUGGGGCUGAUUCAUUACCUCACUUUGUUUUCACCACCCUUAGGCCACCCAGUCCAUUUGUAGGUAUAGAAAGAAGCCUAUAAGGAAGCCCGGCUAGCUCAGUCGGUAGAGCAUGAGACUCUUAAUCUCAGGGUCGUGGGUUCGAGCCCCACGUUGGGCGUAUGUUUUGAUUCUGGCUGUCUCUCCCAGAAUCUACCCUCUAUCUGUGGAGGUAGAGGCCCCUGACAGAUGCAGACUUGCUGAUACCUUUUAGAUGUACCCCAAGGGUACGUCUUUUCCUCCCAGCUCUCU
This 1382-nucleotide transfer RNA is filed under the name Macaca mulatta (Rhesus monkey). Its description in RNAcentral is "lncRNA (ENSMMUG00000054262.1)". The stretch from base 1179 to 1251 matches the Rfam family "tRNA". Lineage: Eukaryota; Metazoa; Chordata; Mammalia; Primates; Cercopithecidae. The record is from RNAcentral.